GGAAUAUUAGUAAUGGGCGACAGCCUGAACUAGCAACGCCGCGUGUGCGAAGAAGGCCUUCGGGUUGUAAAGCACUUUUUGAGAGGAUGAGGAAGGACGGUACUCUCAGAAUAAGUCUCGGCUAACUACGUGCCAGCAGCCGCGGUAACACGUAGGAGGCGAACGUUAUCCGGAUUUACUGGGCGUAAAGCGCGUGUAGGUGGUUUGGUAAGUAGGGCGUGAAAGCUCCUGGCUCAACUGGGAGAGGCCGUUCUAAACUGCCGAACUAGAGGAUGGUAGAGGGAGGUGGAAUUCCGGGUGUAGCGGUGGAAUGCGCAGAUAUCCGGAGGAACACCAGUGGCGAAAGCGGCCUCCUGGACCAUUCCUGACACUCAGACGCGAAAGCUAGGGUAGCAAACG
Molecule: ribosomal RNA, 399 nt
Filed under: uncultured bacterium
Lineage: Bacteria
Description: bacterial SSU rRNA
Rfam family: Bacterial small subunit ribosomal RNA
Source: RNAcentral